AUGGAUUUCAGGUCCUCUGAGACCCAAGAACCGACGGGGAGGGAGCUGGGAAAGCCUGGCGAAGAUCAGAGUGUGUUCGGCAGCUGUCAAGUUUUGCAGGAAAGCCAGGAGAGGCGAGCUGAGCAAUUCAGACAAGUGGAAGUCCCCGCACCCCGGAGUUUGCGCUGUGGAUUACUGCACACUGCUAUUUUAAAAAAAUCAACAAUAAAUGUUUCUUUCAGUCUUGUGUACAAUUCAUUAUUUCUUUCAAUAGUUUUACUCUACCCUCUUCCGAAGUUUUAAAGAGAAUACAGCAUUUGCUCUUCCUGAUUCUGAAUAAAUUCAUUCUAUGUCAGUGUGUUAUUCUCCCACCAAGCCAGCUUGGCUUGUCCACCUUUCUUAUUGCUUCAAAUAGAGCCAGGCAGAUGCUUCCAUAACCCCCCCAGUGUUUUUAUGUGUACAGAAGAGCCUUUGGUUGCAAUCUGGCAUCUGACACGAGCAGAGUAGAGCAGCCUCUCAAAAGCCACCACUUUUAACCUCCUCUUGCCUAGUGGGGAAGCAUCACAUCGUGCGUUGCACACGAGGAAUUAGACCUAUUCCUUCUGCAACCUGGGUACAAUAACCAUCAUCCUUCAACACUGGCCUUCUUGUCUGGAACUCAUGAGAUUGAUUCACCCAAACAUUUGGAGGGCACCAGGUUGAGAAAAGGGGUCUUAAGGCAUCCAGCAGCCCACUCUUCCUACAGGCUCCUAGCAUGUAGCGGCUCAUAAGUUAAAGGUAAAGGUACCCCUGACCAUUAGGUCCAGUCGCAGACAACUCUGGGGUUGCGGUGCUCAUCUCGCUUUACUGGCCGAGAGAGCUGGCGUACAGCUUCCGGGUCAUGUGGCCAGUAUGACUAAGCCGCUUCUGGCGAACCAGAGCAGCGCACGGAAACGCCGCUUACCUUCCCGCCGGAGCGGUACCUAUUUAUCUACUUGCACUUUGACGUGCUUUCGAAAUGCUAGGUUGGCAGGAACAGGGACCGAGCAACGGGAGCUCACCCUGUUGCGGGGAUUCGAACCACUGACUUUCUGAUCGGCAAAGCCCUAGGCUCUGUGGUUUAGACCACAGCGGUAGCGGUUCAUAGGAGAAGCAAAACCACAUCUCAAGGCUGCGCAAAAAAGAAGCUGUUGGAGACUCUCGAGCAAGGCUUGAAUGUGCCUCCACUUAGAGGGAUGAGAUGCAGCCUGCUCAGGCCAGCACCUGAGUGAGGAGGUGCCUCUGGUGGAGAAAGGGUGGCUUCUGCUUUGGGUUCUUCUAAGAGGCCACAGCUUCUCCUACCUGUCCCUCCCCCUACUGCUUCCAUUUGUCCUACAGUCAUGAGCAGGACUCUACAUUUUACCCACCUACAUUAGAGUAGGAUGGGAGCAGACAGAUAGACGAACCAACAGAGGGAGAAGCUGUGGCAACGUCAUUUCUCAUUUUCUAUGGGUCUUCGAGGGCGCUCACACGUCCUCCAGAUUGUCACCCGGCACUGCUAAAUGAGAGGAUCUGAGUGCAAAGGUUAGAGAAGGUUGAUGGUGCCACAUGUGAACUCAGUAAACACUACACUUUUCUGGGACCGUGGUCUUUUGUCCACAUGGUCAGUCCUGCUUGGGAACAACUUUGUUACGUGUGAAAACACAGCAACAAGCCAGUGACUGUGCUGCCAGGCUAGAUCAUCUCUCCCUUGCACUGGAUAAACUGCUUUUCAACUAAAGUCACAAACACAACCUGGAAAGAUGCAGGAAUUCAGUUGGUGAGCAGUUUACGGAGUGCAAAAAUCCAUUCUUAUGUCCAUUUGGUACUGAUACAGAAGUACAAAAAAUGUGCCCGCUAUUUCCGUUGAGGGCACACACGUGAAACCUCAACCUUCCCUUAUCAAACAUGCCAAAGCCUGGAGCCGAUCCUUUCCUAGUGUAUUUUGGGAUGGGAGGAGUGUAUUUUGUGUACAUAGGGAUGAAUGGCAUUUCUUCCAUCGAUGCAUCUUGUAACACAGAGAUGGAAUGCAUUUUGUGCCCACCUAUCUAUACUUAAGUACAAAAUGUAAUGUGAGAAAACAUCUUAAGACUGCCAGAGGGACCAGCCAGAGCCAGUGGUAGGGAUGACACUGGUCCCACAGACACUCUGAUCAACAGUGUUCAGGUUCACAGAGGAAUUACUGAGGAGUCUAUACAGGCUUUGGUUGGGCAUGUACCAAAGGCUGAAAUUUGCACAGGUCCCUUCCAGAAAACAAACAGGUCACAGAAAAGCUGCAUUUCUCAUGCAGAAAGGAUUGGGUUUUUUCCAUCAGCUCAAAUCUUUUUUUGGGCAGAGGCAGGGAGAAAAGCACUCUUUAGCUCGGAUGUCUGCUUAUUUGGCUCUUUGCGAUUUCCAAGCCUGGUCCAUUUAAUGUCCCUGAGGUAAUGAUUCGGUCACUCGUGGAUCCAAAAACACAGAGGACCUCUAGUAAGACAGAGGAGUCAAGGUAACCAAGGCUGAACUCAGAUUAUGAAAGGCA
This is a long non-coding RNA of Podarcis muralis (Common wall lizard), 2497 nucleotides long. NCBI's taxonomy places the organism in Eukaryota, Metazoa, Chordata, Lepidosauria, Squamata, Lacertidae. The record is from Ensembl.